AGUGAACGCUAGUGGCGUGCUUAACACAUGCAAGUCGAACGGACGAUAUUUGUGCUUGCACAAAUAAAGUUAGUGGCAAACGGGUGAGUAAUACAUGAGAAUUUUCCUUGCAGUACGGAAUAACUAUUGGAAACAGUAGCUAAUACCGUAUAUUGCCGAGAGGUGAAAGAUUUAUCGCUGCAAGAUAAGCCCAUGCAAGAUUAGCUUGUUGGUAAGGUAAUGGCUUACCAAGGCUACGAUCUUUAGCUGGUUUGAGAGGAUGAUCAGCCACACUGGAACUGAGACACGGCCCAGACUCCUACGGGAGGCAGCAGUGGGGAAUAUUGGACAAUGGGCGAAACCCUGAUCCAGCCAUGCCGCGUGAGUGACGAAGGCCUUAGGGUUGUAAAGCUCUUUUGGCGGGGACGAUAAUGACGGUACCCGCAGAAUAAGCCCCGGCUAACUUCGUGCCAGCAGCCGCCGUAACAC
This 468-nucleotide ribosomal RNA is filed under the name uncultured bacterium. RNAcentral describes it as "bacterial SSU rRNA". It matches the Rfam family "Bacterial small subunit ribosomal RNA", at positions 29 to 526 of the family's 1533-position model. The record is from RNAcentral.